UACGAAGGGGGCUAGCGUUGCUCGGAAUCACUGGGCGUAAAGGGUGCGUAGGCGGGUCCUUAAGUCAGGGGUGAAAUCCUGGAGCUCAACUCCAGAACUGCCUUUGAUACUGAAGAUCUUGAGUUCGGGAGAGGUGAGUGGAACUGCGAGUGUAGAGGUGAAAUUCGUAGAUAUUCGCAAGAACACCAGUGGCGAAGGCGGCUCACUGGCCCGAUACUGACGCUGGGGAGCGAAAGCGUGGGGAGCGAACAGG
Molecule: ribosomal RNA, 253 nt
Filed under: uncultured bacterium
Lineage: Bacteria
Description: partial 16S ribosomal RNA
Rfam family: Bacterial small subunit ribosomal RNA
Source: RNAcentral